UUCAGCUUGGCAGAUAAAUGCAAUAAAUUUAGAAUUUAUUAAUGGAUUAUAAAUUAAGUUCAGUUGAAA
Molecule: transfer RNA, 69 nt
Filed under: Hyalomma asiaticum asiaticum
Lineage: Eukaryota; Metazoa; Arthropoda; Arachnida; Ixodida; Ixodidae
Description: tRNA-Leu
Source: RNAcentral